Molecule: ribosomal RNA, 428 nt
Filed under: uncultured bacterium
Lineage: Bacteria
Description: partial 16S ribosomal RNA
Rfam family: Bacterial small subunit ribosomal RNA
Source: RNAcentral
GUGGGGAAUAUUGGGCAAUGGGCGCAAGCCUGACCCAGCAACGCCGCGUGAAGGAAGAAGGCUUUCGGGUUGUAAACUUCUUUUACCAGGGACGAAACAAAUGACGGUACCUGGUGAAUAAGCCACGGCUAACUACGUGCCAGCAGCCGCGGUAAUACGUAGGUGGCGAGCGUUAUCCGGAUUUAUUGGGUGUAAAGGGCGUGUAGGCGGGACAGCAAGUCAGAUGUGAAAACCAGAGGCUCAACCUCUGGCCUGCAUUUGAAACUGUUGUUCUUGAGUGUCGGAGAGGUAAGCGGAAUUCCGUGUGUAGCGGUGAAAUGCGUAGAUAUACGGAGGAACACCAGUGGCGAAGGCGGAUUACUGGACGAUAACUGACGCUGAGGCGCGAAAGCGUGGGGAGCAAACAGGAUUAGAAACCCUAGUAGUCC